GAUGAACGCUGGCGGCGUGCCUAAUACAUGCAAGUCGAGCGAACAGACGAGGAGCUUGCUCCUCUGACGUUAGCGGCAGACGGGUGAGUAACACGUGGAUAACCUACCUAUAAGACUGGGAUAACUUCGGGAAACCGGAGCUAAUACCGGAUAAUAUAUUGAACCGCAUGGUUCGAUAGUGAAAGACGGUUUUGCUGUCACUUAUAGAUGGAUCCGCGCCGCAUUAGCUAGUUGGUAAGGUAACGGCUUACCAAGGCAACGAUGCGUAGCCGACCUGAGAGGGUGAUCGGCCACACUGGAACUGAGACACGGUCCAGACUCCUACGGGAGGCAGCAGUAGGGAAUCUUCCGCAAUGGGCGAAAGCCUGACGGAGCAACGCCGCGUGAGUGAUGAAGGUCUUCGGAUCGUAAAACUCUGUUAUUAGGGAAGAACAAAUGUGUAAGUAACUAUGCACGUCUUGACGGUACCUAAUCAGAAAGCCACGGCUAACUACGUG
RNAcentral lists this ribosomal RNA (497 nucleotides) under uncultured bacterium. Its description in RNAcentral is "partial 16S ribosomal RNA". It matches the Rfam family "Bacterial small subunit ribosomal RNA", at positions 28 to 507 of the family's 1533-position model. The record is from RNAcentral.